AGCGGCAACAGCUCAAAUUUGAAAUCUGGCGCAAGCCCGAGUUGUAAUUUGUAGAGGAUGUUUCUGGCGACGUGCCUUCCGAGUUCCCUGGAACGGGACGCCAUAGAGGGUGAGAGCCCCGUACGGUUGGAUGCCUAGCCUCUGUGAAACUCCUUCGACGAGUCGAGUAGUUUGGGAAUGCUGCUCUAAAUGGGAGGUAUACGUCUUCUAAAGCUAAAUACCGGCCAGAGACCGAUAGCGCACAAGUAGAGUGAUCGAAAGAUGAAAAGCACUUUGAAAAGAGGGUUAAAAAGUACGUGAAAUUGUUGAAAGGGAAGCGUUCAUGACCAGACUUGGGCAGGUUGAUCAUCCGUGGUUCUCCGCGGUGCACUCUGCCUGCCCAGGCCAGCAUCAGUUCGCCCCGGGGGAUAAAGGCUUUGGGAAUGUGGCUCCCUCGGGAGUGUUAUAGCCCACUGUGUAAUACCCUGGGGUGGACUGAGGUUCGCGCUCUGCAAGGAUGCUGGCGUAAUGGUCAUCAACGA
This 521-nucleotide ribosomal RNA is filed under the name Clonostachys sp. RNAcentral's name for it is "LSU rRNA". It matches the Rfam family "Eukaryotic large subunit ribosomal RNA", at positions 97 to 647 of the family's 3401-position model. Lineage: Eukaryota; Fungi; Ascomycota; Sordariomycetes; Hypocreales; Bionectriaceae. The record is from RNAcentral.